UGUAGCUCAGUGGUAGAGCUCUUGCCUAACAUGCUCAAGGCCCUGGGUUUGAUUCCCAGCA
This 61-nucleotide transfer RNA is filed under the name Cricetulus griseus (Chinese hamster). It matches the Rfam family "tRNA", at positions 6 to 65 of the family's 71-position model. From Rfam's summary of the family: Transfer RNA (tRNA) molecules are approximately 80 nucleotides in length. The record is from Rfam by way of RNAcentral. Lineage: Eukaryota; Metazoa; Chordata; Mammalia; Rodentia; Cricetidae.